GACGAACGCUGGCGGCGUGCCUAAUACAUGCAAGUAGAACGCUGAAGGAGGAGCUUGCUUCUCUGGAUGAGUUGCGAACGGGUGAGUAACGCGUAGGUAACCUGCCUGGUAGCGGGGGAUAACUAUUGGAAACGAUAGCUAAUACCGCAUAAGAGUAGAUGUCGCAUGACAUUUGCUUAAAAGGUGCAAUUGCAUCACUACCAGAUGGACCUGCGUUGUAUUAGCUAGUUGGUGAGGUAACGGCUCACCAAGGCAACGAUACAUAGCCGACCCGAGAGGGUGAACGGCCCACCUGGGACUGAGACACGGCCCAGACUCCUACGGGAGGCAGCAGUAGGGAAAUUUCGGCCAUGGACGGCAGUCUGACCGAGCCACGCCGCGGGAGUGAAGAAGGUUUUCGGAUCGUAAAGCUCUGUUGUAAGAGAAGAACGAGUGUGAGAGUGGAAAGUUCACACUGUGACGGUAUCUUAACAGAAAGGGACGGCUAACUACGUG
RNAcentral lists this ribosomal RNA (495 nucleotides) under uncultured bacterium. Its description in RNAcentral is "partial 16S ribosomal RNA". It matches the Rfam family "Bacterial small subunit ribosomal RNA", at positions 28 to 507 of the family's 1533-position model. The record is from RNAcentral.